RNAcentral lists this unclassified non-coding RNA (160 nucleotides) under Caespitomonium hyalinulum. RNAcentral's name for it is "Acremonium hyalinulum sequence contains ITS2". The record is from RNAcentral. Lineage: Eukaryota; Fungi; Ascomycota; Sordariomycetes; Hypocreales; Bionectriaceae. RNAcentral also lists the same sequence under 1 other name.
CAACCCCUCGAGCCCCCGGGCCCGGUGUUGGGGACCGACCCAAGCCCUCGCGGGCGGUCGUCCCUGAAAUACAGUGGCGGUCACGUCGCGGACCCUCUGCGUAGUAGCAACACCUCGCACUGGAGAGCGGCGCGCCCACGCCCCGAACCACUUUUUCAAA